This 434-nucleotide ribosomal RNA is filed under the name uncultured bacterium. Its description in RNAcentral is "partial 16S ribosomal RNA". It matches the Rfam family "Bacterial small subunit ribosomal RNA", at positions 29 to 507 of the family's 1533-position model. The record is from RNAcentral.
AGCGAACGCUGGCGGCAGGCCUAACACAUGCAAGUCGAACGAACCUUUCGGGGUUAGUGGCGGACGGGUGAGUAACACGUGGGAACGUGCCUUUAGGUUCGGAAUAACUCAGGGAAACUUGUGCUAAUACCGAAUGUGCCCUUCGGGGGAAAGAUUAAUCGCCUUUAGAGCGGCCCGCGUCUGAUUAGCUAGUUGGUUGAGGUAAUGGGUCACCAAGGCGACGAUCAGUAGCUGGUCUGAGAGGAUGAUCAGCCACAUUGGGGCUGGGACACAGCCCAAACUCUUACGCGAUGCACGAGUGGGGGACGUUGCGAAGUCGGGUAAAUGAUGAAGGUGUUAUGACCGGAGAACUAUGUAAUUAUUAAGGUUCAAAUGUUCUAUUACCGGUGAACAUCAUGACGGUACCUGAUCAAAAAGCCACGGCUAACUACGUG